This 160-nucleotide small nuclear RNA is filed under the name Amborella trichopoda. Its description in RNAcentral is "snRNA U1". It matches the Rfam family "U1 spliceosomal RNA". From Rfam's summary of the family: U1 is a small nuclear RNA (snRNA) component of the spliceosome (involved in pre-mRNA splicing). Its 5' end forms complementary base pairs with the 5' splice junction, thus defining the 5' donor site of an intron. Lineage: Eukaryota; Viridiplantae; Streptophyta; Magnoliopsida; Amborellales; Amborellaceae. The record is from Rfam by way of RNAcentral.
AUACUUGCCUGGACGGGGCCAAUUGGCAAUCAAGAAGGUCUAUGGCCUAGGGUUGAUGCCCUCAUUGCACUUCGGGAGUGGGCCGCCCUAGCAUCUCCCCAACCGGGAGGAUGUGCGUCACAAUUUGGGCGAGGGGGUUACGCGUUCGCGCGGCCCCCGC